GCACCUAAGCCAUCGAGUUUUGGAAACCCUUACUCUGUUGUCUAGAACAACAACAUCUUACAUCUAGGAACGAAAAGAAUACUUAAUAGUUGGUAAAUUCUUGCAAUAAAACUGUUGCUGGUGUGAAAUAACAAAACUGUGAACUUAUUUGACACUCUCCUCACCUCCACACCAGUGGAUUCACCGUCUCCGGCAACUAUCAUUCCUCGCCGCGAGCCGAACCAAGGUUCCGUGUGAACUUUGGCUCUGACUUGAGUUACGGCGGGCUAGCCACCAUGGCAUCUGAACAAGUAGAGGAUAGUGGUGCAUGCUUGUGAAAUCCUAUUGCUGCGUUAAGAUAUCGUGUAGCGAUGAGGUAACAGCUUAAUUCCCUACAUUUUUGUGAGGUCUUUGUCUCUUUGAUCCUGCUCUUGUAUUUUUUGCUAGAGGAGGUGUAGUCGCUGCGACGUUGCAGCUCACCUCCGAUCAUUGCCGAGUUUCAUGCUACAUUAUUCUUAUUUUUUUUUUAGUGAAACAUUAUUCUUAUUUAAUAAAACACCUCUUUUUUCUUGUAAACAUGACACGACCGAUGAGUCGAUUUGUCGAGAAGCUCCGGCCGAAAAGAAAUGGGCCUUUGUUGGAAAAUACUGGUAGAUAUUACGAGCUCAUAGCGCCUGCUCCCUAGUGCCCCUCCCCAUCCCCUCUCCCCUCGCCGCCUCCCGAGGCCGACGCUGGCGAAGCUGCGCGCUGGUCAGUGACGGGGGCACGGGGAUGUUUCGGUUGCUGCAUCCUGCGGCGGUGGUGUCGGUCCUGGCCGGCAGGGAGCGGGGAUGCCGGGGCGGUGGCCCCGGAAAGCGGAUGCGUGGCUCGUUCCUCUCCUGCG
Molecule: long non-coding RNA, 862 nt
Filed under: Brachypodium distachyon (stiff brome)
Lineage: Eukaryota; Viridiplantae; Streptophyta; Magnoliopsida; Poales; Poaceae
Description: long non-coding RNA (BDIS_LNC003248)
Source: RNAcentral